RNAcentral lists this transfer RNA (87 nucleotides) under Actinobacillus seminis. Its description in RNAcentral is "tRNA-Ser(act)". Lineage: Bacteria; Pseudomonadati; Pseudomonadota; Gammaproteobacteria; Pasteurellales; Pasteurellaceae. The record is from RNAcentral.
AAUGCCGGUAGAACGGCGUUCUUCCGUUACUAAGGCAAAACCGUUAUUGAUCGCUUCAAGUGCGGUGCGAUUUCGCAUUGUUUUUCC